RNAcentral lists this ribosomal RNA (498 nucleotides) under uncultured bacterium. RNAcentral's name for it is "partial 16S ribosomal RNA". It matches the Rfam family "Bacterial small subunit ribosomal RNA", at positions 30 to 523 of the family's 1533-position model. The record is from RNAcentral.
AUUGAACGCUGGCGGCAUGCCUUACACAUGCAAGUCGAACGGUAACAGGUCUUCGGAUGCUGACGAGUGGCGAACGGGUGAGUAAUACAUCGGAACGUGCCUAGUAGUGGGGGAUAACUACUCGAAAGAGUGGCUAAUACCGCAUGAGAUCUACGGAUGAAAGCAGGGGAUCGCAAGACCUUGUGCUACUAGAGCGGCCGAUGGCAGAUUAGGUAGUUGGUGGGAUAAAAGCUUACCAAGCCGACGAUCUGUAGCUGGUCUGAGGGGACGAUCAGCCAAAAUGGGACUGAGACACGGCCCAGACUCCUACGGGAGGCAGCAGUGGGGAAUUUUGGACAAUGGGCGAAAGCCUGAUCCAGCAAUGCCGCGUGCAGGAUGAAGGCCUUCGGGUUGUAAACUGCUUUUGUACGGAACGAAAAGCCCUGGGUUAAUACCCUGGGGUCAUGACGGUACCGUAAGAAUAAGCACCGGCUAACUACGUGCCAGCAGCCGCCGUAA